RNAcentral lists this ribosomal RNA (699 nucleotides) under uncultured Alphaproteobacteria bacterium. RNAcentral's name for it is "bacterial SSU rRNA". It matches the Rfam family "Bacterial small subunit ribosomal RNA", at positions 56 to 801 of the family's 1533-position model. Lineage: Bacteria; Pseudomonadati; Pseudomonadota; Alphaproteobacteria. The record is from RNAcentral.
UGCAGUCGAACGAAGUCUUCGGACUUAGUGGCGCACGGGUGAGUAACAUGUGGGAAUCUACCUAAAGGUUCGGAAUAACUGCGGGAAACUGUAGCUAAUACCGGAUGUGUCCUUACGGAGAAAGAUUUAUCGCCUUUAGAUGAGCCCGCACUGGAUUAGUUUGUUGGUGAGGUAAGAGCUCCACCAAGACUACGAUCUAUAGCUGAUUUGAGAGGAUGAUCAGCCACACUGGGACUGAGACACGGCCCAGACUCCUACGGGAGGCAGCAGUGGGGAAUAUUGGACAAUGGGGGAAACCCUGAUCCAGCAAUGCCGCGUGAGUGAAGAAGGCCUUCGGGUUGUAAAACUCUUUCAUCAAUGAAGAUAAUGACGUUAAUUGAAGAAGAAGCUCCGGCUAACUCCGUGCCAGCAGCCGCGGUAAUACGGAGGGGGCUAGCGUUGUUCGGAAUUACUGGGCGUAAAGCGUAUGUAGGCGGAUCAAAAAGUUAGAUGUGAAAUCCCUGGGCUUAACCCAGGAACUGCAUUUAAAACUAGAGAUCUAGAAUUUGGUAGGGGUUAGUAGAAUUUCCAGUGUAGAGGUGAAAUUCGUAGAUAUUGGAAAGAAUACCAGUGGCGAAGGCGACUAACUGGGCCAUUUUUGACGCUGAGAUACGAAAGCGUGGGUAGCAAACAGGAUUAGAUACCCUGGUAGUCCACGCA